GUUCGCCAGCAGGAUGGCUUCUUUACGCAGGGCGUGGCGCAUUUGCGUCCGCUCAACCUGAAAGCUGUCGCCGACGCCAUCCAGAUGCACGAAUCGACCGUCUCGCGGGUGACCGCGAACAAGUACAUGGCNNGACCAACCGCGGCACGUUUGAACUGAAGUAUUUCUUCACCGCGUCGAUUGCAUCGGCCGACGGCGGGGAUGCGCAUUCCGCCGAAGCUGUGCGGCACCGCAUCAAACAGCUCAUUGAUGCGGAAAG
RNAcentral lists this unclassified non-coding RNA (259 nucleotides) under Hevea brasiliensis (rubber tree). The record is from RNAcentral. Lineage: Eukaryota; Viridiplantae; Streptophyta; Magnoliopsida; Malpighiales; Euphorbiaceae.